UUGCGUCAGCUUUCAAAUAGUUUAGCAUCUUGCCUCUUGGCCAUGUCAUGUGACUCAACAGAAUCCUGAUUGGUUGAAAUAUGAAAGCUUUUCAUUGACAUUAUUGAAAACCUUUAUUUUCUAUAAAAUACUAACUUGGAGAGCUAAAUAAGCUCAAUCAACACCUAAAAAUGUUCGAAUAAAGGUUUGCUUCGAGCUCCUCCAAGUGUUAGCGAUGGUUGUUUUUCUGACGGCCUCUUGCAAGCGGGAGGGUAAACAAAUCCACUUUUAAUAAGAGCUCCUAGCUCAUAAUCUGGGCCUGCCAGCAGGUGAGGAUCGGCAUAUGGGGUGAGACCGGGACGAACGGAACGCCACCAACACACACAGCCGCACGCCAAGCAGCUGUCGCUUGUUUUCCGAGGCGAGGCCCAUCCAACGGGAGCGCCGUGGGUCCGCGGGAGCCGCGCCAAAAACAGGGAAGCAAACGGAUGAUCUCGAGCGAGCGACAGAAGGCGAAGACGGGGACCGAAGUCCACCUCGGAGCUCGGAAGAAGGAGGUUAUGAAAAAGAUAAAACUCUUUCAGUGCGAGAGGAAAAAAAUCAAUUUCCCCCCUGACUGAUUUGUUUACCCGGCAGCACAGACGCCGUCUUUCAGCUUCCUCGCCGUUUUGGCUCAUUCCUCGCCGUUCGGCGAAAGGUUUCAAUAAAAGGGUUGGUUUUUCCUCUGCGUUUUCCUGCGUGUCCUCCCCUUUGUCCCGCUGUCUCUUCUUGUCCAUCACUGCUCCCUUGUUUCUCCUCGCCUCUGCCUUUCCCUUCCCUCCAUCUGUGCCUCUUAUGAAGUGUGAAAAAUUAUCAUCCGCAGGAUGAAGUGGACAAAAUCCACGGGCUUAAUGGCCUGACGAAAUGAAUCGCGACCCUCCUCGCCAUCCAUCACCGUUCCGAGGCGACUGCGGUUAAGAUCUGUGAAGGUGCAGGCUUAUUGAUUACUGCUUGUAACUACAGAGUGUCUGAUUCAGUGCCUGUGGAGGGGAGUUGGGGGGGUUUGCCAGGUGGUGGGUGGAAGGGAACGCUCUCAAAAAAAAAGAGGAAAAAAAUCUUCUUUUGAUAGAUUUUAAAUGGUGAAAUAUUGAUUUCUGUCUGGUCCAAGGCCUGGCCGAGCGGGUCGCAACGAUUUGUCGGAGGCAUAAUGCCGGACACCCGACUCGGCUGGCCACCAUCAGUCAUCCUGACACCAGGAAAAAUGAGAGAAACGAGGAAAGGGAGCGGUUAGGAAACCGGGAAGAGAAAUAACUCAACCUUUUAGCUUUUUUUUUUUUUUUCCCUGCUGAAUCUUUGAUGCGUGGAAAGCCUGAAAGCCUCCUUAACAUUCUGCUUUUCAGAAUAAAAGUUCAUCGCCUGUUUGGUUGCAGGGGGCGAGGAUAAUGACCCACUAAGGGAGCUGACCAUGAAAAGGUGAUUAUUGCUCUUAAUUGCCGUCCACAGAGGCUGCCAGAGCGCGGGCAGGUAACAUUAAUCUACAUUAAAGCAGUUUUCUGCUGAUUCAUUGUUGUUGCAGCAGAUAAACCGAAAUUAAUCCAAAUUUUUAACGUCAGCUUUAAAGAACACGUUCAAAGAUAACAAAAACACCCCAACGACAGAUCAAACCUUUAAUUGUUUUAGUUAUAUGAGUAUACAUGUAUUUUAGUCUUAUAAUUAAAAAAAAAAAAACAAAAAAAA
Molecule: long non-coding RNA, 1695 nt
Organism: Oryzias melastigma (Indian medaka)
Lineage: Eukaryota; Metazoa; Chordata; Actinopteri; Beloniformes; Adrianichthyidae
Exons: 2
Source: RefSeq, a predicted model, not a curated record